CCCGCCGGAGGUUGGGGGUCCGGUCGCGUUGGUCCCCAAAGCUUGGGAGGCUGGCGUGCACCAGGCUGAACUCAAUGACUGAGACAGUCUCUGGGGGAAAAGGCGCUUUUCACACCGUCUUCACGUGUCCAGCUCUUUAUUCGAGGUGUGUACAACAGCCGGAAUAGUCAUUAACUCAUUAGUCCAUAUUUAGACAAUGUACAAUUAUGACUGUUCAUAUUCAGGUUGUGACAGUGAUUGAUUUAUGACCCUGUCAAAAGCCAAGGUUGUUUGUACAAGCACAAGCUGUAAUGAGCUCAAGCAGAAAUGAACUGGAGCUGGAACCACAGACCAACUGGAGCUGAAAUGAAGCCAGAGAAGAUGAAACCCAAGUGGAACCUAAAACUUGCUGGAAGCAAGAACAAGCUGGAGGUGGACCUGAAACAAGCCAGGGGCAGAAACAAAUGAGCUGGAGCCACAGAUGAACUGGAGCCGCAAACAAACUGGAGCCGUCCAUGAGCUGGACCUGAAAUGAACUGGAGCUGAAAUGAGCCAGAGCUGUCCAUGAGCUGGAGCCACAAAUGAACUGGAGCUGUCCACAAGCUGGGGCAGAAACAAACAAAACAGGGGCAGAAGCAACUGACCUGAAGCCACAACCAAGCUGGAGCUGCGAAGUCCCUGCAGUGUAUCCGGGUGGGCAGAGCCGGGUUGGAUCAGAAUUACAAAGACUGGUGGUCUGAGAUGCUGAUGCUUGACCUGCUAGUCACUGCCAUAAGUGCUCUAUUACUGAAAGGCUGUGGCUUUAAACGAUAGGUUACCUCCCUCCCAGAAGCACCGAUUACCAGGGGACACAUCACUGGGCAACAGAGGCCUUCCUCGAAGCAUGUAUUAUUUGGAAAAAAUCCAUCACAGCAUCUGGAUUCCCCUGAAAAGGUAUUCCCAUUGGAAGAUCUGAAACAGCCAACUGCACAGGAUGUAACCACUGUUGGAUGAUAGCGUUAUCCUUUCUGCAGAGCUCCCCAUGUCCUGCCAACAGCUGCCCAGGCAGACAGAGUUCAGGCUGCGCCUGCCC
Molecule: long non-coding RNA, 1051 nt
Organism: Harpia harpyja (harpy eagle)
Lineage: Eukaryota; Metazoa; Chordata; Aves; Accipitriformes; Accipitridae
Exons: 3
Source: RefSeq, a predicted model, not a curated record